This 18-nucleotide ribosomal RNA is filed under the name Phaseolus coccineus. Its description in RNAcentral is "partial 18S ribosomal RNA". The record is from RNAcentral. Lineage: Eukaryota; Viridiplantae; Streptophyta; Magnoliopsida; Fabales; Fabaceae.
UGCCAGUAGUCAUAUGUU